AGAGUUUGAUCCUGGCUCAGGAUAAACGCUGGCGGCGUGCCUAACACAUGCAAGUCGAACGCCCUUAGCAAUAAGGGAGUGGCGGACGGGUGAGGAACACGUGGGUCAUCUACCUUCUGGUGAGGAAUACCGGCGAGAAAUCGCCGACAAUACCGCAUACGCUGCGCAAGCAGCAAAGCUCGUAAGGGCGCCGGGAGAUG
Molecule: ribosomal RNA, 200 nt
Filed under: uncultured bacterium
Lineage: Bacteria
Description: partial 16S ribosomal RNA
Rfam family: Bacterial small subunit ribosomal RNA
Source: RNAcentral